GAAUCUUCCGCAAUGGACGAAAGUCUGACGGAGCAACGCCGCGUGAGUGAAGAAGGUUUUCGGAUCGUAAAACUCUGUUGUCGGAGAAGAACAAGAAGGAGAGUAACUGUUCCUACCUUGACGGUACCCGACCAGACAGCCACGGCUAACUACGUGCCAGCAGCCUCGGUAAUAAGUAGGUGGCAAGCGUGUUCCGGCGUUGUUGGGCGUAAAGCGAGCGCAGGUGGUUACUUAAGGCUGAUGUGAAAGCCCACGGCUCAACCGUGGAAGGUCAUUGGAAACUGGGGAACUUGAAUGCAGAAGAGGAGAGUGGAAUUCCAUGUGUAGCGGUGAAAUGCGUAGAUAUAUGGAGGAACACCAGUGGCGAAGGCGACUCUCUGGUCUGUUAUUGACACUGAGGCUCGAAAGCGUGGGGAGCAAACA
RNAcentral lists this ribosomal RNA (423 nucleotides) under uncultured bacterium. RNAcentral's name for it is "partial 16S ribosomal RNA". It matches the Rfam family "Bacterial small subunit ribosomal RNA", at positions 359 to 774 of the family's 1533-position model. The record is from RNAcentral.